This 255-nucleotide ribosomal RNA is filed under the name uncultured bacterium. RNAcentral's name for it is "partial 16S ribosomal RNA". It matches the Rfam family "Bacterial small subunit ribosomal RNA", at positions 524 to 776 of the family's 1533-position model. The record is from RNAcentral.
UACGUAGGGUGCGAGCGUUAAUCGGAAUUACUGGGCGUAAAGCGUGCGCAGGCGGUUCGUUAUGUCCGAUGUGAAAGCCCCGAGCUUAACUUGGGAAUGGCAUUGGAAACUGGCGGGCUGGAGUGCGGCAGAGGGGGGGUGGAAUUCCACGUGUAGCAGUGAAAUGCGUAGAGAUGUGGAGGAACACCGAUGGCGAAGGCAGCCCCCCUGGGCCGACACUGACGCUCAGGCACGAAAGCGUGGGGAGCAAACAGG